Molecule: ribosomal RNA, 484 nt
Filed under: uncultured bacterium
Lineage: Bacteria
Description: bacterial SSU rRNA
Rfam family: Bacterial small subunit ribosomal RNA
Source: RNAcentral
CUGGCUCAGGAUUAACGCUGGCGGCGUGCCUAAUACAUGCAAGUCGAAUGGUAGUAGCAAUACAAACCAUGGCGAACGGGUGAGUAACACGUAGGUAACCUGUCUUUAAGACGAGGAUAACCGUUGGAAACGACGGAUAAUACUGGAUAGGACAUUAAAUGGGGCAUCCCAAAAUGUUUAAAGAUUAUUAUGUCACUUAGAGAGGGGCCUGCGGCGCAUUAGCUAGUUGGUGAGAUAGCAGCCCACCAAGGCGAUGAUGCGUAGCCGGACUGAGAGGUUGAACGGCCACAAUGGGACUGAGAACGGCCCAUACUCCUACGGGAGGCAGCAGUAGGGAAUUUUCGGCAAUGGGCGCAAGCCUGACCGAAGCAACGCCGCGUGAACGAAGAAGUUAUUCGUAAUGUAAAGUUCUUUUAUCUGGGAAGAAAAACAAAUUGACGGUACCAGAUGAAUAAGCUCCGGCUAACUACGUGCCAGCAGCAGC